GCACCACUUGGACGGCCGACCUGC
This 24-nucleotide non-coding RNA is filed under the name Arabidopsis thaliana (thale cress). The record is from RNAcentral. Lineage: Eukaryota; Viridiplantae; Streptophyta; Magnoliopsida; Brassicales; Brassicaceae.